AGAAUCAACGCUGGCGGCGUGCCUAACACAUGCAAGUCGAACGAGAAAGUGGAGCAAUCCAUGAGUAAAGUGGCGCACGGGUGAGUAACACGUGACUAACCUACCCUUGAGUGGGGGAUAACCUAGGGAAACCCGGGCUAAUACCGCAUAAUACCUUCGGGUCAAAGGAGCAAUUCGCUUAAGGAGGGGUCGCGGCCGAUUAGUUAGUUGGCGGGGUAAUGGCCCACCAAGACUGUGAUCGGUAUCC
Molecule: ribosomal RNA, 247 nt
Filed under: uncultured bacterium
Lineage: Bacteria
Description: partial small subunit ribosomal RNA
Rfam family: Bacterial small subunit ribosomal RNA
Source: RNAcentral